This 484-nucleotide ribosomal RNA is filed under the name uncultured marine bacterium. RNAcentral's name for it is "bacterial SSU rRNA". It matches the Rfam family "Bacterial small subunit ribosomal RNA", at positions 59 to 526 of the family's 1533-position model. The record is from RNAcentral.
AAGUCGAGCGAAUGACGAGGAGCUUGCUCCUCUGAUUUAGCGGCGGACGGGUGAGUAACACGUGGGUAACCUGCCUGUAAGACGGGGAUAACUCCGGGAAACCGGAGCUAAUACCGGAUGAUAACGAGAAGCGCCUGCUUCUUUUUUGAAAGUCGGUUUCGGCUGACGCUUACAGAUGGGCCCGCGGCGCAUUAACUAGUUGGUGAGGUAACGGCUCACCAAGGCGACGAUGCGUAGCCGACCUGAGAGGGUGAUCGGCCACACUGGGACUGAGACACGGCCCAGACUCCUACGGGAGGCAGCAGUAGGGAAUCUUCGGCAAUGGACGAAAGUCUGACCGAGCAACGCCGCGUGAGCGAUGAAGGCCUUCGGGUCGUAAAGCUCUGUUGUCAGAGAAGAACAAGUACCGGAGUAACUGCCGGUACCUUGACGGUACCUGACCAGAAAGCCACGGCUAACUACGUGCCAGCAGCCGCGGUAAUAC